CGGUGAAUACGUUCCCGGACCUUGUACACACCGCCCGUCAAGCCAUGGAAGCUGGGUGUACCUAAAGUCGAUAACCAUAAGGAGUCGCCUAGGGUAAAACUAGUAACUGGGGCU
This 114-nucleotide ribosomal RNA is filed under the name uncultured bacterium. Its description in RNAcentral is "partial 16S ribosomal RNA". It matches the Rfam family "Bacterial small subunit ribosomal RNA", at positions 1360 to 1482 of the family's 1533-position model. The record is from RNAcentral.